UCUGCCUGUCACAGCCUUCCCAGCCAGGAGAAGCCGUGCCGGUUCUGGCCCCAGAGUCCUAUCAGCCGAGCCCGUGGCAAAUUAAUCACUUGCAUUUUAAAUGCCAAUACAGCCCUUUCUGCCUUCUUCCCCCAGUGAUGCGGAUGCGGCGAAGGCAGCAAAUCCUCCGGCUGUGUGCGCCCUCUCUGGACUGCCGCUCCAUCCCUGCCUGUCUUACUCGUGUGUGUGCGUGGCUGGGAGCGCUCCCUAGGUGCAGCCAGGAAUGAGACAGCUGUGGGGCAGGGGACAGCCCAGCCUGGAGGGGUGACACAAGGUGGGGGAUACCCCACACAUCUGCAGGGCUGUGAGUUGCUUUGAGACAGGGGUCUUUUGUGCCUCCACCUUGUCCCUGUCAUGCCAUGCAUGGAAGUUGGGAGUGAUCGCCCCUCCAGAAGCAGAAGGCGAAGUCUUUCGCAAUGAAUCCAUGGCAGCUUCGAUCGAGUGGUGAGCUGGAGCACCUAUGUACAGGCCGCUCCUUGAUGUGACUGAAAACAGGCCUUUUCCAGCACUCUGAAAGGAGAGUGGGGCCGUGAAUUUACCUCCCACACAUCUGGGCACCCAGAGUACGUGCACUGCGAGAUUCCAGUGACAGAUGGCUCUCUCUUGUGCACACGUGCUCUUUCCCUCUCUGUAUUUUUGUUUUCAACAUGUUUGAUCUGAAGUUCUGAAGCUUCUCA
This is a long non-coding RNA of Dromaius novaehollandiae (emu), 716 nucleotides long. RefSeq lists it as uncharacterized. The record is from RefSeq and is a predicted model, not a curated record. Lineage: Eukaryota; Metazoa; Chordata; Aves; Casuariiformes; Dromaiidae. The transcript has 3 exons.